This 463-nucleotide ribosomal RNA is filed under the name uncultured bacterium. Its description in RNAcentral is "partial 16S ribosomal RNA". It matches the Rfam family "Bacterial small subunit ribosomal RNA", at positions 28 to 507 of the family's 1533-position model. The record is from RNAcentral.
GAUGAACGCUGACAGAAUGCUUAACACAUGCAAGUCGAUGGGGAAGUGGUGCUUGCACCAUGGCAACCAUGGCGGACGGGUGAGUAACGCGUAAGGGGCUUACCUGCAGGACUGGGAUAACAGGGGGAAACUCCUGACAAGACCGGAUAAUGUCAUGGAGCUGCAUGGCUUUAUGAUGAAAGGAGACGCCUGCGGAGAGCCUUGCGUCCUAUUAGCUAGUUGGUGAGGUAAUGGCUCACCAAGGCGAAGAUAGGUAGCCGGCCUGAGAGGGUGGACGGCCACAAGGGGACUGAGAUACGGCCCUUACUCCUACGGGAGGCAGCAGUGGGGAAUAUUGGACAAUGGGGGCAACCCUGAUCCAGCAAUUCUGUGUGCACGAAGAAGGUUUUCGGAUUGUAAAGUGCUUUCAGCAGGGAAGAAGUAAGUGACGGUACCUGCAGAAGAAGCGACGGCUAAAUACGUG